GACGAACGCGGCGGCGUGCCUAAUACAUGCAAGUAGAACGCUGAAGGAGGAGCUUGCUUCUCCGGAUGAGUUGCGAACGGGUGAGUAACGCGUAGGUAACCUGCCUGGUAGCGGGGGAUAACUAUUGGAAACGAUAGCUAAUACCGCAUAAGAGUAGAUGUUGCAUGACAUUUACUUAAAAGGUGCAAUUGCAUCACUACCAGAUGGACCUGCGUUGUAUUAGCUAGUUGGUGGGGUAACGGCUCACCAAGGCGACGACACAUAGCCGACCUGAGAGGGUGAUCGGCCACACUGGGACUGAGACACGGCCCAGGCUCCUACGGGAGGCAGCAGUAGGGAAUCUUCGGCAAUGGACGGAAGUCUGACCGAGCAACGCCGCGUGAGUGAAGAAGGUUUUCGGAUCGUAAAGCUCUGUUGUAAGAGAAGAACGAGUGUGAGAGUGGAAAGUUCACACUGUGACGGUAUCUACCAAAAAGG
This 477-nucleotide ribosomal RNA is filed under the name Streptococcus mitis. Its description in RNAcentral is "bacterial SSU rRNA". It matches the Rfam family "Bacterial small subunit ribosomal RNA", at positions 28 to 491 of the family's 1533-position model. Lineage: Bacteria; Bacillati; Bacillota; Bacilli; Lactobacillales; Streptococcaceae. The record is from RNAcentral.